AGCUCUGUAAGCGUAUACCAAAGUUGUUGCAGUUAAAACGCUCGUAGUCGGAUUUUGGCGUGGUGCUUCUGAGAUGCCCGAAUGGGUGUCGAAGGUUUUAGUCCCGCCUUUGUGGAGGGGGGUGUGGUGGUUCUUUAUUGAAUUGCUGCGCUUCCGCCACUGUUUACUGUGAAAAAAUUAGAGUGUUCAAAGCGAGCGAUUGCCAUGAAUACAUUAGCAUGGAAUAAUAGAAUAGGACCUGGUCCUGUUUUAUUGGUUUGUCGGUAUCAGGUAAUGAUUAAGAGGGACGGUCGGGGGCAUUUGUAUUCCAGGGUUAGAGGUGAAAUUCUUAGAUCCUUGGAAGACAAACAGCUGCGAAAGCGUCUGCAAAGGACGUUUUCA
RNAcentral lists this ribosomal RNA (381 nucleotides) under uncultured eukaryote. RNAcentral describes it as "SSU rRNA". It matches the Rfam family "Eukaryotic small subunit ribosomal RNA", at positions 587 to 972 of the family's 1831-position model. The record is from RNAcentral.